GGAAUAUUGGUCAAUGGACGGAAGUCUGAACCAGCCAAGUCGCGUGAAGGAAGACGGUUCUAUGGAUUGUAAACUUCUUUUGCCCGAGGGUAAAGUGAGUCACGUGUGGCUUAUUGCAAGUAUCGGGUGAAUAAGCAUCGGCUAACUCCGUGCCAGCAGCCGCGGUAAUACGGAGGAUGCGAGCGUUAUCCGGAUUUAUUGGGUUUAAAGGGUGCGUAGGCGGGCUGUUAAGUCAGCGGUGAAAGUUUGCGGCUCAACCGUAAAAUUGCCGUUGAAACUGGUAGUCUUGAGUACAGACGAGGUAGGCGGAAUGUAACGUGUAGCGGUGAAAUGCUUAGAUAUGUUACAGAACUCCGAUUGCGAAGGCAGCUUACCAGGCUGUGACUGACGCUGAGGCACGAAAGCGUGGGUAUCAAACA
This 419-nucleotide ribosomal RNA is filed under the name uncultured bacterium. RNAcentral's name for it is "bacterial SSU rRNA". It matches the Rfam family "Bacterial small subunit ribosomal RNA", at positions 358 to 774 of the family's 1533-position model. The record is from RNAcentral.